Molecule: ribosomal RNA, 346 nt
Filed under: uncultured fungus
Lineage: Eukaryota; Fungi
Description: SSU rRNA
Rfam family: Eukaryotic small subunit ribosomal RNA
Source: RNAcentral
GUAGUCAUAUGCUUGUCUCAAAGAUUAAGCCAUGCAUGUCUAAGUAUAAGCAAUUAUACCGCGAAACUGCGAAUGGCUCAUUAAAUCAGUUAUCGUUUAUUUGAUGGUACCUUACUACUUGGAUAACCGUGGUAAUUCUAGAGCUAAUACAUGCUGAAAACCCCGACUUCGGGAGGGGUGUAUUUAUUAGAUAAAAAACCAACGCCCUUCGGGGCUCUUUGGUGAUUCAUGAUAACUUCUCAGAUCGCAUGGCCUUGCGCCGGCGACGGUUCAUUCAAAUUUCUGCCCUAUCAACUUUCGAUGGUAAGGUAUUGGCUUACCAUGGUUUCAACGGGUAACGGGGAAU